Molecule: small nucleolar RNA, 138 nt
Organism: Tachyglossus aculeatus (Australian echidna)
Lineage: Eukaryota; Metazoa; Chordata; Mammalia; Monotremata; Tachyglossidae
Source: RefSeq, a predicted model, not a curated record
ACCCUCUCAGGGUCACACCUGCAGAGUUUCCAGGACUCAACCAGUCUCGACUACGGGAGGGAGAGUCAAGCAGAGACACAUCCAUUCCAUUCCUAGCUUGGCCAGUGGCUAGCAAGUGGAAGGCAAUCUGCUACAAGU